Long non-coding RNA from Lolium perenne, 1050 nucleotides. RefSeq lists it as uncharacterized. NCBI's taxonomy places the organism in Eukaryota, Viridiplantae, Streptophyta, Magnoliopsida, Poales, Poaceae. The record is from RefSeq and is a predicted model, not a curated record.
CCACAAGUUUCCUACGUUAAAAAAUGUUCCGAUCGAUCACGUAGGGCUACGCAUCGACAUGAAUUCCAAGAGUCUCACGUCUGUCGAGGAUUGCUUCCGUCCUAGGUUUUCCUUCCUAUAUAUAUGUCGUCCAGGAAGAGAACCGAACAAGCAUCGAGAACUCCCAUCGCCGCCGCCGCCGCCGCCGCGAGAAAACCAGAGAAGGAAAGGGGAAGCCGCCAAGGGCCAUCUCUCGACGCAUCUGGAUUUGGCUGCAAUGUUCGUCAAGGAUGCAUGGCGCACCGUGAGCACGACCUCGCCGGCGGCGGUCGACUGGUGGAGUAGUCGAUGGCAGGUGCGGGGUGCAUGCCUCGGUUUCCCUUCUACUCUUCUUGCCGAUGUGGACGUGGACUUGCUGGUCUCAUGGUCAUGGACUUCAAAGUUGGAGUGGAGUUUGCUGCUGUUGAUCUGUUCUGUUAUGGAGCUAAAGGAGAUUGCAAUAUGCGUAUGACUGUAAUAGCGUGGAGAUGACUGCUUCAAGUUUUCUGCUUUCAUGUUCCAGAUCAGCUCUACGGUUCGGUUCUAAUUUUUUGGGCCUGCUUGGUGAUUGGAUCUGGCUGUGAAGCUCGCCAUGAUGCUCGGGUGUGCUUAAUUAGGUCUGUUGUGUGGUAGCUACUACUGCUGGCCAUGAGGGAUUAUUAGCUGAUUUUGUAUUGCUAAUCGGCGUAUUGUUCUUUUGCAAUAUUUACAACCACAAUCUCAUGAGUUGUUGCUCACGCCUUCUUAGUCCGCGGCGCUGAAAUAGGCCACCAGGAACAGGAGAACGGCAAGGUAGAUGGGGGAAGGAGAGGAGUUGAUGAGCUAACGACCUGUCAGCGGACCCAGAGUUCCGACUAUAGAGCAGAGGAAUUUUUCUUAGUGUUGAUUCGGUACUACGAUAAAUACUGUGUAUGCAAUCAAAAUUCUCCCAUCGGAGCCAACGGAAUUCAGUAAUCUUUUUCCCAUCUUUUUCAAUGUAUUGCAAAUUAUUGUGAUUAAUAUAUGUGCUCCUAUUAUUUCAUAAAAAAUCAA